UCCAGUGUAAUUAACAUGGAGUGAUAGUAGUUUCUGGUGUACAGUAUUAUGAUACAACAAAUCUAGACAGUGCCCAUGGCUCAUCAUGAAUUUUUCGAAGGAAGGAGGGAACCUUCCGGAUGGUCCUCGAGGCUGUAGAAUCCUACCGGUAUUGAGCACACUGCACCUGCAUUGAUGCCUUGCAGAUCCUCAGGGAAAGUUGAAACAUCACCUUGCCCUUGAGGGUUCAGUCACGAGUUUCUGGAUUGGCGCUUUUCUUCUCCUGCUCUGUGGUCCCACGGAUGGGCUUCUCCUUGGCACUGGAAUGAGAGCCGGUGGGUGGGAGGGAUCGCUCCCAGCACAGCGCCUGGCUCUGAGUGCAUGUUCCUCAGACUAGAGAGGAGAGGAAUUGGGGCCAAGAAAUCUCUCUCACCACGGGGACAGCCUGGUUCCCGUGAUCGGAACUAAGAUAAGGUCGGCUACCUGUAAGGAGUAUUAGCCGGCCUUAAAAAGAAAGGAAAGGCUGGCAGGAGUUACAACAUGGAUGAACCUCGAGGACUUUAAGCUAAGUGACAGAAGCUGGGCACAAAGAGAUGAACACGCAAUGACCACAGUCACGGGAAGUGAGCUAGAGCAGUCAGAUUCACAAGGCAGAAAGGACCGUGGCAGUUGCCAGGGGCUGGAGGAGGAGUCGAAAUUUUAUACAAUGAAAAGAGCUCUGGAGAUGGACAGGGGUGAUGGCUGCUUGGCCCUGGGUGCACUUGAUGUCAUCCAACCUUAUGCCUGAAAAUGGCUCAGAUGCUACAAUUCAUGAUGGGUGUAUUUUACCGCAAUAACACUAACCAAAAGAAGGCGAAAGCUGGAGGAGCUACUCACCCGGGGACACACAGCCACUGGGAAGUGAAGCAUCAGUGAGAGCCAAUGCAGGGUGAAUGCCACGGUGACACUUUUCCCUGGACUUUCCCAUGGGCCGCUGCAGUGAGAUCAGGAGAAAGACCCUGGCAGGCAUACCAGCCAGUGGCCAGGACAGCAUAGUCGGCCUGGGACGGAGCUCUGGGGGCCCACCUCUCCCCUCCGACAUGGAACAGGUCGCAGCCUGAGUCCUUGCCACCCUGCAGGACAGAGAUUGGAAGGCAAGCACCUCAAGGGGUGGGUAUGAAGACGAGAUGAGCUCAUGUUCCAGCUCAUGGCCCAGCACGGUUCUGGGCCGCCGGGCAGAGUUAAAUAGAUACACAAAUGAUGCAAGAUCAGUGCCACCAGGUGGACCCUGGGAGAAGAGUUUGCUCUGUCCACCGUGGGAGUGACCGCAACGUCUCAGGAUGGCUCUCGAAGAAGAGAAACUGAGAUUCAGAGGUAAAGAGACGUGUUCAAGAUCAUCCAACCAGUACACAGAAGAGAUCCAAUCCCGCUGCUCUACCUGCAUCCACUCCUGGCACUCAUGCACACAUAACUGGGUGCCUAGUGUGUCCCCCACUUGAUUCUGGCAAGGACUGGCUUCCAAGCUUUUUGGUUACCUUCUCUUCUGUGACAAACACUGGAGCUCUAUUUCCCACCCCCUCUUCCAAGCACGCCUCUGCCAUAGGAGUGAGAAAGCUACACCCUCCACUGCGCAGACUCUCUACUAGAUGUGAGCUCUGGAGAUGCAGCAGCCAUCUUGUGACCAGGAGACCUCAAACAUAAGGAUGAAAACCAAUAAGCGAAGCAUGUCCAAGAAGACAGGUUGGAAUUCCAGGUUCCCUGUGGCAUUAUUGAGGCCGGAAGGAGUGAUCGGCAAGCCCCAGUAUCCUGACUUUCAGCGAUCAUGGACCCUGAGGUCCCCGUCCUGACGGGGCCACAGUCGGAGCCCGGAGCUUGUCCACUGUGGCCGCCAGCAUGUGGGGGCAGAUGUUGUCGUUAGACUCUGCUGCAUGACAGACCACACCAGAUCUUGCCCAGAUAUCUUCAAGGCCUGGUCGGUGUAGGGCACAGUCCCAAGAGGGCCAAGACAGAAACCCAAAGGCCUGAGAUCCUAUGCCUGUGCUUCUGGCAGAUUCUGUUGGUGGUAGCAAGUCCCAAGGUCCUGUGUGGCCUGCUCCCAAGACCCUCAGGGUUUCCUCCAAGGGCAGCAUCAGGUUGAGCAUCUGGAGUCUUGUGGUCUAGGUCAGGUCCGGAUGUGGCUGGUGCUCCACUUCACGCCGGGCAACUGAUCUACCCUCACACACCGGGAAGGAAGUCCAUUGGCAGUCUCCUCCACAUUUGGCUUGGAAAACUCUCUAGCCAGACCUGUGAGUUCAUUUGGUGCAUGUUCCAUAAUCCAAGUAUCCGCAGGUAACAGUCUUGCCAAUAGUUCUGCCACAGUGCAGCACGUCCCCCUUCCCCAGGCUCCAAGAGCAAUUUCCUCCCCGUGGUUCCAGCUCCCACCGAUCAUUCCGUGACUGUCCUUCCAGCCUCUGCCCAUCUCCGGGGCCCCUGGACCCGUGCACAUGAAUUAGCUCUGGGUUUUGGAAACAGCCCAGGCACUGGUAUUGAUUUCUAUAACUGGUAUCAGCUUAUCAGCAUAAAAAAAUGUGGCCCGCAACUUAGCGAUUUAAAACAAAGAUCUAGGCUAAUUCCUGACUGUCUGAGGGGACUCUCUGCUGUGUCUGCUGGGCUCGGGCACACAGCUGUAGUCCACUACCGGCUCAGCGGGGUCGGAAGGGCCUGGGCGCUCACUCCUGCCACUGGCCCUGGCGCCGGCUGUGGGCUGAGCACCGCGGCCCUCGGCGUGGUCUCUAACUAAUCCUUCAGGAGGCCAGCCCAGGCUUCUGGACAAGGUGGGCUCAGGACAGAGUCCCAGGAGGGCAAAGGCAGAAGCCCAAAGUCCUCUCGAUGCCUGAGCUCCGAAACUCACAUGACCUCACUCCAGCCAGACUCCGUUGUCUCAAGGCCAGCCUCGAUUCAAGGGGACAGAGAAACGGGCUCUCCCUCUGGCUGGGACUCAGUGAGGUCAUACUGCAGAGGGGCG
Molecule: long non-coding RNA, 2962 nt
Organism: Mustela lutreola (European mink)
Lineage: Eukaryota; Metazoa; Chordata; Mammalia; Carnivora; Mustelidae
Exons: 9
Source: RefSeq, a predicted model, not a curated record